Molecule: long non-coding RNA, 1113 nt
Organism: Mustela lutreola (European mink)
Lineage: Eukaryota; Metazoa; Chordata; Mammalia; Carnivora; Mustelidae
Exons: 5
Source: RefSeq, a predicted model, not a curated record
CAGGUCCCUGUCUCCUGCAGAGAGAACUCCCUCCAUGGGGCAGAAGCCAGAGCAGCGAACCCUGGAGUGGAAGGCAGGGCGGUGAGCUGGGAACCCUGACCCAGCUGACCUUCGCGGAUUUAGAAAGGGUCUGAAGAGCAGCCAUGAGACUGAAUCCCAGCCAGGAAGGAAGUGCGUCUCGGAAACCGAGCCCUCCGGCUGGAGUGCUGCCCAUACCCAGCACCCUUGGGCCUCCCCGGCGAGGGGCCUCGCGCCUCUCGUGACCCUCGGGAGGCUGUAACCCUUCUAACCUCAAGACAGAAGCGUGAACGCCUGCGGCGGCUGUGGUUUAACAGUUAGUGCCAGAGAGAAGUCGCCCACGCGAGCCCUGCUGCGACUCACUGUCUGCACGUGCACCACGAGCAUGGGGACCGCAGUCCCUCUGCCACCGCCAGCUCCUCGGCAUCCAGCCAAAGCCACCCAGCGCCUGCCACGCUAGGUCAGGCCCCUACCACCAGCUGUGAGCUCCCCAAGGGCCAACGUGGCUCUGCUCAUUCCUGCGGCCCAGUGACCUGCGAGGGCCCGGCAACUGGAGGUGGGAAGGUACACGGCUGAGGCCGGAUGAGGAAGAUAAGGCAGAGAGGACAGAACACUCAGGCCCAAGGGCCUGCAGCUGGCGAGCGGCCAAGGUUCUUGGACCAGGCACGAGGCUGAAGAACGAGCUAGCCAAGGGCUUGGCAUGAAGCCUCCCGUGGGACUGGAAGACUUCCAAGAACCAGGGUCCUGGGACCAAAAGCCUGGAAGGCCUGGCCCUGAGCCAGCAUUUGUGGGGGAGGGACCAGUACCCGGGCAAGGAAGAUGUCUCUCUCCUCCCGCAGCAAUGACAGCUCUGCUUGGGGGGCCUACUGCAGUUGCCCAGGAGGGCAGUCCUUCAGCCUCCUGGAGGAUGCAAAGCAAAUCCUGUCGGCCUUCUCUCCACUGCGCAGCUGACCUCAGCCCACUUCCCAGCCCUGCCCCCCUCCAGCCACUGGCUUGGCUCCCACAGCAGCCACGCUCCACUCCUCAGGGGGACGUGGUCACGGCAUCUUUCCGACCACACCCUCUCCUGCCUGCGCAUCCUCCCCUGGAUCCUAC